GGUACCUGCGGAAGGAUCAUUAAC
Molecule: ribosomal RNA, 24 nt
Filed under: Basidiobolus ranarum
Lineage: Eukaryota; Fungi; Basidiobolomycota; Basidiobolomycetes; Basidiobolales; Basidiobolaceae
Description: partial 18S ribosomal RNA
Source: RNAcentral